CUUUCUUAAAGAGUUAUUUUUUCGUUAUUAGAGAUAAGCAGAAGCCUUAGAAGGGAGCACUCGUGGCACACUUACUAUAUCCCAUUCCAGCCAGCCUCACCUUACCUUUUCGUUAACUAACCUACCAAGUGCUUUCCGGUAACCAAACUACUAUGUCGCUGAGCCAACUAGCCUGGUCCCGAUCACGUUCACAACCAAAGACUCCC
This 206-nucleotide long non-coding RNA is filed under the name Trifolium pratense (red clover). RNAcentral's name for it is "long non-coding RNA (TPRA_LNC009183)". The record is from RNAcentral. Lineage: Eukaryota; Viridiplantae; Streptophyta; Magnoliopsida; Fabales; Fabaceae.